RNAcentral lists this unclassified non-coding RNA (344 nucleotides) under soil metagenome. RNAcentral's name for it is "partial contains 5.8S ribosomal RNA, internal transcribed spacer 2, and large subunit ribosomal RNA". The stretch from base 1 to 120 matches the Rfam family "5.8S ribosomal RNA", at positions 35 to 154 of the family's 154-position model. The record is from RNAcentral.
GAUGAAGAACGUAGCGAAAUGCGAUACGUAAUGUGAAUUGCAGAAUUCAGUGAAUCAUCGAGUCUUUGAACGCACAUUGCGCCCUCUGGUAUUCCGGAGGGCAUGCCUGUCCGAGCGUCAUUGCUGCCCUCAAGCACGGCUUGUGUGUUAGGCCCCGUCCUCCGCUCGCGGGGGACGGGCCUGAAAGGCAGCGGCGGCACCGCGUCCGGUCCUCGAGCGUAUGGGGCUUUGUCACCCGCUCUGUAGGCCCGGCCGGCGCCUGCCGAUCAACCACACUUUUAUUCAGGUUGACCUCGGAUCAGGUAGGGAUACCCGCUGAACUUAAGCAUAUCAAUAGCGGAGGA